GUAUCAAGCCACCAAUGGAGGCUCUGUCUCAACAUAACCUGCCUACAGCAGAAGAUAACCUGGAAUAUGUACGGACUCUGUAUGAUUUUCCUGGAAAUGAUGCGAACCUGCCGUUUAAAAAGGGUGAGAUCCUAAAGUGAUAAUAGAGAAGCCUGAAGAACAGUGGUGGGUACGGAACAAGGAUGGCCGGGUUGGGAUGAUUCCUGUCCCUUAUGUUGAAAAGCUUGUGAGAUCCUCACCACACGGAAAGCAUGGAAAUAGGAAUUCCAACAGUUAUGGGAUCCCAGAACCUGCUCAUGCACAUCGCUCAACCUCCCAGACCACAACUCCUCUACCUGCAGUUUCCGGUUCUCCUGGGCAGCAGUCACCUGCCAUCCACACAGAAUGGACCUGUCUUUGUAAGCAAUCCAGAAAAAGAGUACCCUGUGCUUAUGACAAGACUGCCUUGGCAUUAGAGGUUGGUGACAUUGUGAAAGUCACAAGGAUGAAUAUAAAUGGCCAGUGGGAAGGCGAGGUGAAUGGGCGCAAAGGGCUUUUUCCCUUUACGCAUGUCAAAAUCUUUGACCCUCAAAACCCAGAUGAAAACGAGUGAUUGCCGUUGCCCCGUUUCCUGCUGCUUUGUUGUUCUGCCUGUCCUAGUCUCCUUUGAAGUGGGAAAGCAUUCUCUCUCAUAGGCAAGUCACACUGCAUUGCCGAAGUCCAGCUUUCUGCAGACUGGCAGUCGCACACACAUUUGGAAUGCACACAGCGACUGCCUCCUGACGUUUGUAUCAUAGUCGUAUUGUCAAAGAGUAGCCGAUUUUAGAGUUCUUUUGGAUCAUAAACUGGAAAUACUGAUGGAAGCACACAAGUGGAGAGAAGUUGACGAGGAAAGGGUCUUCCUUCUCAUCGCUGCCUGUUUGUACAUGGGACUGAUUCUAUCGUGUUCACCAGAGAAAGCCUGAGGCCAUGGCGAGAUACUGCAUGUUUGCUGUUCCACAAAGCAGUGGCUCAGCUGCCAUCUUGCUUUUCUUUGGACAACAGGAACUGAACCUUAAGGAAGAGAGAAUUCUGUCCUAAAACUCCAAAAUCCGGCUUUUUUUUUUUUCUUUUGGUUUGGUUUGGUUUUGGAAAACUAACUAAUUAGACUUGUGUGGGGUUUUUUUGUUUUGUUUUGUUUUUUGUUUUUUUUGAGACGGAGUCUCGCUCCAUCACCCAGGCUGGGGUGCAGUGGCGCAAUCUUGCUUUCCUGCAGUUUCCGCCUCCCGGGUUCAAGCAAUUCUCCUGCCUCAGCCUCCCGAGUAGCUGGGAUUACAGGCGCGCACACCACGCCCAACUAAUUUUUGUAUUUUUAGUAGAGACGGGGUUUCAUCAUGUUGGCCAGGCUGGUGUCGAGCUCCUGACUUCAGGUGAUCCACCUGCCUCAGCCCCCCAGCGUGCUGGUAUUACAGCCAUGAGCCGCUGCGCCUGGCCUAGACUUGUGUGUUCUAAACAGGUUAAGUAGCAGGUUGGGUUUUUAUGAUAGUGCAAGGAAUGACACAUGCCUCUGAGCUUCUAAACUGAAGCUGCUGUAACUAAAGGAAUCUGAAAAGAACAACCCUGAAGCAGAGGCCUUUAUUGUCUUGGUUGCCAGUAGUAGUUUGUUUUGCCAUGUAGCAGAAAACACACAAAAUAAUGCAGCUGUGGUGUGCCAUGCUAUGUGCACAGCCCCUUGGAUUACUUUGUUUUAAAAAGCAUCAGAGUUGGGGGGUACUUUAGGGAAACCUUUGCUUACCUUGUUUGCCAGUGAUAAGAGCAGUGGGUUGGAGGGCAGUUGGCCAGUUUUCUGUUCAGCUUUUCAGUGAAUGUACCCCUUUAAGGUUAAGACUUAAAUUCCCCUAAAAAGUGGGGUUGUUCAUAGAAUCACUGGACUCAUUAAGGAAUCGUUAAAUUCCACUCACUGAAGCCCAGACCUCCGUACCCAGGCCCAGUCUCAACAGGCUGCCAGAGAAAGUUGGUGCUGCUGAUACUGGUCUCACAGUCUAAGUAAGUGUCUGAUGCUCCCAAGCAGUGGAAAUGCAGGCUCUGGAAAUUGGUUAAUGUAUUUGAUGUCUUAGUGUUUUAGUGACUAGGGAGACCAUUAACCAGUUUAUCAUUAACCACUUAUCAGUGUAUUGAUGUUAAAGUAUUUCCCUGUUAGCUAAAAGAGGCCUGUUCAUACAAGCCAGCUGAUAUAUACGUGUGGUUCAUCCGUCAUCUGCUGCUCAUGGCAGACUAGAAUUCUGGGAACCCUGUGCAAUUCAGUCUGUUCUCCCUUCUGGGCCCUGGUAAAGACAAGCCUCAGCUUAUAGUGAACACAGCAGACCUAGAAAUGUAGCAACAGCCUAAUGAGUAACUGUCAUUUACUGAGUAUCUGCUGUGACUGUGGCCCCGUCUGGAGGUUCCUAGGUUUUGAGAUUUAGAACAAUGCCUUCUGGAGACAGAACCAGCAAAACAACCAUUUUUCAAUUUUUCUUUAAAUCAGUAUUCCAUUAGGCAGAUAACUGCCAUGUUCAUGAAUCUUGAGAGUGUUCCCUGUGACAGAAUUAAUGGUCAGUUGGGAAAACUAUCACCAUGGCUUCCCAUCUGUGGUUCUCCUCUAAAAUUCUUAGAGAUUAGCCCUUCCUUGCCAGUGAGAACGGUGGCUGCCUCCUGCUCUGCAUGGUCUGCGGCAGUUGCCGCUUCUGGUUAGGUGUGUCAGGUUGGCUUAUUUUGGGUUCAGGCCUGGUGUAGCACCCACAAGUGGCAGAUAUAUCACAGAGUCCCCAAACUCUGCCUAGAAACAGUGUUUCCCCUUUAGCCAGUGACCUGGUUCAUCCCUGCCCAAGUUGAGCCCUGAGUGGAGUUUCCGGCAGAGGGAAGAAUGUGCCUUGUUCAAGGAGGGCACAGACCCUUAAGCCUUUUUCAACCAGAUUUAGCUGAAGGACUUGACACCUUUGAAUUACAGCAGUUGACUUAGAGCGCAAGAAGUCUGUGGCCAUUUUGGAAAGCAAGGUUUCCUUUCAGCCCUGUCUACUGACCAAUACCCCGACUCACCUUGUGUGGUGCACUUCAGAAUCAGAUAUACCUAGAGUAUACCUGUGGUUUGGUUUUAUAAUUAAUCAGCUCAUUACUUCAGCCCAUGAAAAUGGCAUCCAGGGCUGUCAGGAGAUUCAGAGCUCAAAACAAGGCGAGCUUGAGUUCUGCACUCCUGAUAUGUGCCAAAAGUAAAACUUUUUGACUUACAACCUUGUCAGUUUUUUAAAUCAGGCAGGGAUAUUCUCUUUUUCACACUAAACAUAUGAAAGCAGCACCCAUGCCUCAGCUCAGCUUCGUGCCUGGGUUCCCCACUGGCCUGGGAAGACAGUUGUGCUCCAUAGAGCAGUGCAAAUCUGACCCAGAGGGUGGGUGUUCAUAACUGCUCCUUGCUCUGCUCUACCAUGUUUUAAGAAAUAUUUGGAUGUUAAAUUAACUCAUUAUGGUUUUUCACCUGGGAAGGAAACAAAUUACAUACUAGAGGGCAUUGACUGGUUAUAAACUUGUAUAUUCUGGGAAGGACCUGCGGUACAGGAGUCAGCCAUGUCUGUGCUGUGUGGAACCACCUGACGACAUGGUUAACGAGGAAGAUGAUGUGUUGACCGGCUGCCGUUUGAGGACUUUGGUCACCCAGACUAGACACCUUCUGUGCUCAUGUUUGGAAAGCUGAAAGGGAAGGACAGCUGUGCCCUCCUGGGAGCUCACGUGUCCCUGGCACUGUGCUAGCUUUCCUUUACAGCUGUUUACAGACAAGGCAGGCCUGAGGAGGAUGGCCACUGCUCUUGUGAUGUUUGCUCAGAGGAAUAUGAACAUUUUAUUUUUGAAAAGGGAUGAUGUGGUUUUGUGCCAGGUGUUUAUAAUUUAAUCCUUUAAUAUUAUGGUUAUUAACCUCUUAAACGUGAAAGAAUUCUUGAUUGUUUUAACACAGUACCUAAGACUAAUGCUUUCUGUGGACACCACUGAGCUCUGCCUCAACUCCACCCUCUGGGACCGGAGAACUAUGCCCCUGGAAACUGCUGUCGGUGUGGACACUGUGCUGGUUCUAUUUUCUAAAGGAGUAGACAGGUCUCUGAGACAGGAUCGUUGUCCCUACAGGAGGAACAGUGGCCUUGCUUCUUAGACGGUCUUCACUGUGUGUUUUAAAACAAAAACAACAACAACACCGUAAAACUCUUUUGACCUGUAAUUUAAAGAUCAUAAACUUCAGGCAAUAAUAUUUUCUGUGUAAGCUUUUAAAAUUAUUUUUGGGGAUCAUAGCUUGUUUUAUUUUGUGCUAUAAAAUUAACAGUAUUAAAUGACUUAUAUUCUUAGAACACAUUGAGUGUCUUUUCUUAACAGAUUAGUGCCUUUUUAUUUUUGUAUUCCGUUUUACGUUACUGGUCCCAGCAUCAAAACCCUUGUUUCCAUGGCCUGUUUGUAUAUUGUCUCAAUAAAACUUGCAUCAGCCGGUGGUGGCGGCA
Molecule: non-coding RNA, 4472 nt
Organism: Chlorocebus sabaeus (green monkey)
Lineage: Eukaryota; Metazoa; Chordata; Mammalia; Primates; Cercopithecidae
Source: RefSeq, a predicted model, not a curated record